This 983-nucleotide ribosomal RNA is filed under the name uncultured bacterium. Its description in RNAcentral is "bacterial SSU rRNA". It matches the Rfam family "Bacterial small subunit ribosomal RNA", at positions 509 to 1504 of the family's 1533-position model. The record is from RNAcentral.
CAGCCGCCGCGGUAAUACGGAGGGUGCAAGCGUUAUCCGGAUUCAUUGGGUUUAAAGGGCGCGUAGGCGGAUUAUUAAGUCAGUGGUGAAGGCCUGCAGCUUAACUGUAGAAUUGCCAUUGAUACUGAUAGUCUUGAGUUUGGUUGAGGUAGGCGGAAUGAGGCAUGUAGCGGUGAAAUGCAUAGAUAUGCCUCAGAACACCAAUUGCGAAGGCAGCUUACUAAACCAAUACUGACGCUGAGGCACGAAAGCGUGGGGAGCGAACAGGAUUAGAUACCCUGGUAGUCCACGCCGUAAACGAUGAUUACUCGUUGCAGGCGAUACACUGUCUGUGACCAAGCGAAAGUGAUAAGUAAUCCACCUGGGGAGUACGGUCGCAAGAUUGAAACUCAAAGGAAUUGACGGGGGCCCGCACAAGCAGUGGAGCAUGUGGUUUAAUUCGAUGAUACGCGAGGAACCUUACCAGGGCUUAAAUGUACAUUGACCUCUCGAGAAAUCGAGAUUCUCUUCGGAGCAAAGUACAAGGUGCUGCAUGGUUGUCGUCAGCUCGUGCCGUGAGGUGUCGGGUUAAGUCCCAUAACGAGCGCAACCCUCAUCUUUAGUUGCCGGCGAGUAAUGUCGGGGACUCUAAAGAAACUGCCCGCGCAAGCGUGGAGGAAGGUGGGGAUGACGUCAAAUCAUCACGGCCCUUACGUCCUGGGCCACACACGUGCUACAAUGGUAGGUACAGAGGGCAGCCACUUGGUGACAAGGAGCGAAUCUCUAAAGCCUAUCUCAGUUCGGAUUGUAGUCUGCAACUCGACUACAUGAAGCCGGAAUUGCUAGUAAUCGCGCAUCAGCCAUGGCGCGGUGAAUACGUUCCCGGGCCUUGUACACACCGCCCGUCAAGCCAUGGAAGCUGGGGGUGCCUGAAGUCGGUAACCGAAAGGAGCUGCCUAGGGUAAAACUAGUAACUGGGGCUAAGUCGUAACAAGGUAACCGUA